ACCUUAACUAUUAAAAGUUUCGUUUUGGUCCUUUAACUUACUUUUUGGUCCCUUAACUCAUCCUCUGUCAACCACUUUGGUCCUUUAUGUUAGGAUGAAUGUAUUAGAGUUAAGGGACCAAAAUGAAACCAAAAAAUAAGUUAAGGGACCAAAACGAAACCAAAAAGUAAGUUAAAGGACCAAAACGAAACUUUUAAUAGUUAAGGGACCAAAAUGAAACCAAAAAAUAAGUUAUGGGACCGAAACGAAACUUUUAAUAGUUAAGGAA
RNAcentral lists this microRNA precursor (268 nucleotides) under Medicago truncatula (barrel medic). RNAcentral's name for it is "MIR2655 microRNA precursor family". It matches the Rfam family "MIR2655 microRNA precursor family". The record is from Rfam by way of RNAcentral. Lineage: Eukaryota; Viridiplantae; Streptophyta; Magnoliopsida; Fabales; Fabaceae.